AUAAAAAAUUAAAAAAAAUAGUUCAGCUCAGAAUCACUUCUUUUACUUUCUGGCAUGACAACAUGUUCUAGGCACAUUUGUGCCUUCCUUAUCCCAGAUCUGGAAUCAGCUCUUUCCCCAAAGAAUCCUGAUUCUUUUUGGUGGAGGAUGGAUAUGUAGAAGCGAAGAUCCAGGUCCUUUGUGCCCUCACUGCUAUUGGAGUGUCCAGGCUUCUUGCCUCAGUGCAUAAAUCGAUGGAAUAUAUGUAUGUGGACACAUACCCACGUUGACAUCUAUAUUUCUACAUGCAUGUAAAUGGAAAGGUGUGACUUCACAUCACUACCUGCCAUUUAAAGCUAACACCUCAGGGUUCAUUCUAGUUUUCUCCCUCUCCAUAUUUGUAAUUCCUUCCUUUGGCAGUGAGAAUCCCAGCUCCCGUUUUUCUUAAUAUAUUUACUUAAUUGAUCAGUUCUUUGUAUGUACCUUGCUGCUUUAUCCCCAGUCCCUGUUCGGACAUCCUUCUUACCCCAAAGAGUUCAGUUCUCUUUGCUGGGCUUUCCUCCUCCGUCCUUAUCCCACUUAAGCUCUCAUGCUCUGCACCAGCCUCUCCGCCAGCGUGGGUGUCCUCUUUGCCCCACGUGGGUUCUGACACCGUGGACUCGACUGCUUGCUCCUCCCUGGGUAGACACUCCUCUCAGCCCUGCUUGGGCUGUGGCACCCCAACUCUGGCAUCCCCCUCUUUCUGCUAGUGCCCUCUUCACCCUUCCUGGUUCCGACACUGCAUUCAGGACAGCCCUCGUCCCGCAGUGCUCAGGCCUCCAUCCGUGGCCCGUUGUGUUCCUCCCACCCCCAGACACCUCAGCACAGACCCCUCCCUAGCUCAGACCCACCUAACGGCUUUAGGACUGAAGUGUUUUGGAAGAAAAGGAUUGAAUUGUUUCAGAAGGGGUCUAUAUAAAACUUUUUGCUAAGUAAAUUCACAUUUUGGGGGGAAAAUUGUUCACCCGGGGCCAUGUCACCUAGAUUAUUUUCUGUGUCUCUCGGUGCACAGGAUCAUUCUUGAUUUCUUCCUACGGGCUGCCCGUUUUUAACUAACCAGAAGGUGAAGUCUGUAGCCCACGUAAUUCUGAUGAGUCUUUUUUUUUUUUUUCCUCCCCUCUUCAGACUUCCCUGUGAUACAGAUGGGGACUGUGGUGUUUGAGAAAGCCUGCUUUUGCAGAAGUGACGGUCUUGGUCCGUAGUUUGCAUUUCUGUGUCUCCCCUUCUAGCUCAGUGGCCCAUCCCCCCCCCCCCACCAUGACAGUGGCAGCAGGUGCUGUCCCCUUUGGCUGAGCCCUCUCUGUAGGUGUUUUGCAUGUGUUACCCUAUUAAAACACCCUACCUCUGUGAGAUGUACGGGUUUUACAGGUGAGGAAACCAAGGCUGGGAGGGGUUAAAUAAUUUGUUCAAGGUCACAUAACUUGUAAGAGGUUAGCGGUAUAAUUUGAAUCCAAGCCUGCUUUUUUCCUAGAGCCUGUCCUCGUGACCGUGUGAUGCUGCCUCUGUAGGAUUAGGAUAAAUUUGAGGAGGCUGAAUUUUUCAAUCCCUGUUUUUGAUUCCUUUUGAUUUAGGAAGAGGAAGCAUAAGCUCUUGAAAGUUAUAGUUGGAAGAAGAAAAAUAGACACCAUUAGCUGCCUGGAAACAGUGCCACUUAAAUGCUGGCAUUCCUGGAAUGGGCCCAAAGGAGUGGCUACAUAUACGGAACAUAACAGGAUGGAAGAAUUACAACAUAAAAGAGUGGGAGAGGAUAUUCAAGAUUACAGGAAUGACCUCUGUAUAUUACAGGGAUUUGGAUUACACAGGUGUGCAUUCAUAAAAACUCAGCAAAUUGACACUCAUUUCAUGAAACUUUAUAUCCAAAGGGGAAAAAUUAUGCAAAUAUUGAACUCUUACUAAUGACACACUCAAGUAUUUAGAGAGCAGUUUGCUGAUCUCUGCGAUUUACUGGGAAAUACAUGAAAAAAAUAAGAUGAAUUGAUGGAUGGCUAGAUGGAUAUAUUUGGUAAGAAAGGUAAUAGAAUCAGGAUGAUGAGAAAUGGGUUUACAUAUAAAAUUCUUUCAAUUUUGCUGUAUGUUUGAAAUUUUUCAUAAUAAAAUGUUGGUUUUAAAGAUGUAAGAUUCUGGUCACCAUGGGGCAGAAAUGGAGCCAUUGGAAUCUGACCACUGCCUUGAUGUUUUUCACUUUGAGAUUGAUAGCGAAGUAAGAAUCGUUGAAUUCUUCAUCUUUACUAUGUUA
Long non-coding RNA from Lynx canadensis (Canada lynx), 2254 nucleotides. RefSeq lists it as uncharacterized. The transcript is spliced from 3 exons. The record is from RefSeq and is a predicted model, not a curated record. Lineage: Eukaryota; Metazoa; Chordata; Mammalia; Carnivora; Felidae.